This is a long non-coding RNA of Prunus avium (sweet cherry), 584 nucleotides long. RefSeq lists it as uncharacterized. The record is from RefSeq and is a predicted model, not a curated record. NCBI's taxonomy places the organism in Eukaryota, Viridiplantae, Streptophyta, Magnoliopsida, Rosales, Rosaceae.
AUUUUCCUUCUCUCUCUUUCCUUUGCUUAUGCUGCUCUUGGGUUCUUCAGCAGCAGCAACAAAGGAGGAGGCUUCUUAGCCUAAGAUUGACAGAGAUCUUUUGGGAAGGCUAUCGUACCGCUAGUAACAGAGUGAGAGCCCUUUGUGGUAUUUGCAAAUUACUGUAGAGGAGAGCUGUCUUGGUGACUUUGUGGGCUUUCUCUUCGUUCUCCAAUUUGCAGACUUGGGAUUUCACUGUGCUGAAGGUGGGUUAGGAUGAAACUCGCCAUUUUCUAUUUUUGAUACUCAAGAACACUCGCAAGGUCUUCUCUGAGUACCACAAUGUGCCCAUGAACACUCGCAAGGUGUUCAUAGCACUCAGUACAGUGGGUUUCUUGCGGAAACCCAUCCGUAAUUCACAACAGAGAGGUCCUUGCGAGAGCUCUCUUUGUGUAAGCAGCACCAUUAUCAUCAUUUUGAAAAGAUUUGUUUACAUCUUCCAUUGCCAAGGCUUCUGUACAGUUUCUUUUACACUUUCUCUUUUGCCUGCAAGUUAGCUGUACAUAGGAGAAUGCUGAAAUGAAUUAGUUUAAUACCUUCUCAAA